UCCCUAAUGGCUCAGAGGUUAAAGCAUCUGCUUCUAAUGCGGGAGAUCUGGGUUCGAUCCCUGGGUUGGGAA
This is a transfer RNA of Ovis aries (sheep), 72 nucleotides long. It matches the Rfam family "tRNA". From Rfam's summary of the family: Transfer RNA (tRNA) molecules are approximately 80 nucleotides in length. Their secondary structure includes four short double-helical elements and three loops (D, anti-codon, and T loops). Lineage: Eukaryota; Metazoa; Chordata; Mammalia; Artiodactyla; Bovidae. The record is from Rfam.